RNAcentral lists this ribosomal RNA (773 nucleotides) under uncultured Neocallimastigales. RNAcentral's name for it is "partial large subunit ribosomal RNA". It matches the Rfam family "Eukaryotic large subunit ribosomal RNA", at positions 24 to 644 of the family's 3401-position model. The record is from RNAcentral. Lineage: Eukaryota; Fungi; Neocallimastigomycota; Neocallimastigomycetes; Neocallimastigales.
AUCUCUGUAGAGUCUGCAUAUCAAUAAGCGGAGGAAAAGAAACUAACUAGGAUUCCCUCAGUAACGGCGAGUGAAGCGGGAAGAGCUCAAAUUUGAAAUCUUCAAGGUUCUACCUUGACGAAUUGUAGUUUAAAGAAGUGUUUUCUGUUGGAGUUUUGGUAAAAGUUCUUUGGAAUAGGACAUCAUAGAGGGUGAGAAUCCCGUAUUUGACCAUUAUUUCCAACUUUGUGAUACACUUUCAAAGAGUCGGAUUGUUUGGGAAUGCAGUCCAAAAUGGGUGGUAAAUUUCAUCUAAAGCUAAAUACUGGCGAGAGACCGAUAGCGAACAAGUACCGUGAGGGAAAGAUGAAAAGAACUUUGAAAAGAGAGUUAAACAGUACGUGAAAUUGUCAAAAGGGAAGCGUUUGACACCAGUGUUGUUUUCUCGAAAAUCAAUUAAAAAUGGCGGGAUUUUGUGUUGUAUUGACUUUAUCAGCUUUCUGCACUUUUUUCCUGUCUUUUUUAAUGCACUUUUCGUUUAACAAGUCAACAUCAAUUUCUUUUGUUGUAAAAGAGUCAUUGGAAGGUGGCUUUCUUUUCGGAGAAAGUGUUUAUAGCCUUUGACUUCUGCAAUCGGAGAGAUUGAGGUCUGCAGCGUAGAUCCUUCGGGGUUAGAUACAUUUGUGCUAAGCUAUAGCCUUUCAUAGACAACUUGUUGACUAUGAUCAGUCAUGUAGCUUACUCGCUUAUGCUAUUUUACCUACGCUUAGGAUGUUGAAUCUGUGCGAGACUAC